This 301-nucleotide ribosomal RNA is filed under the name uncultured bacterium. RNAcentral's name for it is "partial 16S ribosomal RNA". It matches the Rfam family "Bacterial small subunit ribosomal RNA", at positions 509 to 807 of the family's 1533-position model. The record is from RNAcentral.
CAGUAGCCGCGGUAAUACGUAGGGUGCAAGCGUUAAUCGGAAUUACUGGGCGUAAAGCGUGCGCAGGCGGUUGUGUAAGACAGGUGUGAAAUCCCCGGGCUUAACCUGGGAAUUGCAUUUGUGACUGCACGACUAGAGUGUGUCAGAGGGGGGUGGAAUUCCACGUGUAGCAGUGAAAUGCGUAGAUAUGUGGAGGAACACCAAUGGCGAAGGCAGCCCCCUGGGAUAACACUGACGCUCAUGCACGAAAGCGUGGGGAGCAAACAGGAUUAGAUUCCCGAGUAGUCCCUGUCUCUUAUAC